GAUGAACGCUGGCGGCGUGCCUAACACAUGCAAGUCGAGCGAUUCUCUUCGGAGAAGAGCGGCGGACGGGUGAGUAACGCGUGGGUAACCUGCCCUGUACACACGGAUAACAUACCGAAAGGUAUGCUAAUACGAGAUAAUAUGCUUUUAUCGCAUGGUAGAAGUAUCAAAGCUCCGGCGGUACAGGAUGGACCCGAGUCUGAUUAGCUAGUUGGUAAGGUAACGGCUUACCAAGGCGACGAUCAGUAGCCGACCUGAGAGGGUGAUCGGCCACAUUGGAACUGAGACACGGUCCAAACUCCUACGGGAGGCAGCAGUGGGGAAUAUUGCACAAUGGGCGAAAGCCUGAUGCAGCAACGCCGCGUGAGCGAUGAAGGCCUUCGGGUCGUAAAGCUCUGUCCUCAAGGAAGAUAAUGACGGUACUUGAGGAGGAAGCCCCGGCCAACUACGUGCCAGCCGCCGCAGUAA
RNAcentral lists this ribosomal RNA (468 nucleotides) under uncultured bacterium. Its description in RNAcentral is "partial 16S ribosomal RNA". It matches the Rfam family "Bacterial small subunit ribosomal RNA", at positions 28 to 523 of the family's 1533-position model. The record is from RNAcentral.